UGGGGAAUAUUGCACAAUGGGCGCAAGCCUGAUGCAGCCAUGCCGCGUGUGUGAAGAAGGCCUUCGGGUUGUAAAGCACUUUCAGCGAGGAGGAAGGGUAGUGUGUUAAUAGCACAUUGCAUUGACGUUACUCGCAGAAGAAGCACCGGCUAACUCCGUGCCAGCAGCCGCGGUAAUACGGUGGGUGCAAGCGUUAAUCGGAAUUACUGGGCGUAAAGCGCACGCAGGCGGUUUGUUAAGUCAGAUGUGAAAUCCCCGCGCUUAACGUGGGAACUGCAUUUGAAACUGGCAAGCUAGAGUCUUGUAGAGGGGGGUAGAAUUCCAGGUGUAGCGGUGAAAUGCGUAGAGAUCUGGAGGAAUACCGGUGGCGAAGGCGGCCCCCUGGACAAAGACUGAC
This 397-nucleotide ribosomal RNA is filed under the name uncultured bacterium. Its description in RNAcentral is "partial 16S ribosomal RNA". It matches the Rfam family "Bacterial small subunit ribosomal RNA", at positions 355 to 744 of the family's 1533-position model. The record is from RNAcentral.